RNAcentral lists this unclassified non-coding RNA (376 nucleotides) under soil metagenome. Its description in RNAcentral is "partial contains 5.8S ribosomal RNA, internal transcribed spacer 2, and large subunit ribosomal RNA". The stretch from base 1 to 120 matches the Rfam family "5.8S ribosomal RNA", at positions 35 to 154 of the family's 154-position model. The record is from RNAcentral.
GAUGAAGAACGUAGCGAAAUGCGAUAAGUAAUGUGAAUUGCAGAAUUCAGUGAAUCAUCGAAUCUUUGAACGCACCUUGCACCCUUUGGCAUUCCGAAGGGUAUGCUCGUUUGAGUGUCAUUGUACUCUCACACUCCCGAUCUUUGGAUUGGGAGCGGUGGACUUGGGUUUGCUGCUUGCCGUGGCUCACCUCAAAUGGAUUAGUGCAACUCUUGGUUGACCAUAGUACGGCGUGAUAAGUGUCUUCGCCGGCACCUCACUGGGUGGGCCGAUCGGGAGCUCUGUGCUUCAAACCGUCUUCGGACAACAACUGACAACUUGACCUCAAAUCGAGUAGGACCUCCCGCUGAACUUAAGCAUAUCAAUAAGCGGAGGA